GACGAACGCUGGCGGCGUGCUUAACACAUGCAAGUCGAGCGGUAAGGCCCUUCGGGUACGACGAGCGGCGAACGGGUGAGUAACACGUGGGUGACCUGCCUCUAGCUCUGGGAUAAGCCUGGGAAACUGGGUCUAAUACCGGAUAUGACUCCGCGGCGCAUGUUGUGGGGUGGAAAGCCUUGUGUGGCUAGAGAUGGGCCCGCGGCCUAUCAGCUUGUUGGUGGGGNGAUGGCCUACCAAGGCGACGACGGGUAGCCGGCCUGAGAGGGCGACCGGCCACACUGGGACUGAGACACGGCCCAGACUCCUACGGGAGGGCAGCAGUGGGGAAUCUUGCGCAAUGGGCGAAAGCCUGACGCAGCGACGCCGCGUGAGGGAUGACGGCCUGGUGUAAC
Molecule: ribosomal RNA, 395 nt
Filed under: uncultured bacterium
Lineage: Bacteria
Description: bacterial SSU rRNA
Rfam family: Bacterial small subunit ribosomal RNA
Source: RNAcentral